This 934-nucleotide long non-coding RNA is filed under the name Mytilus galloprovincialis (Mediterranean mussel). Lineage: Eukaryota; Metazoa; Mollusca; Bivalvia; Mytilida; Mytilidae. The record is from RNAcentral.
AGAAAAUGUAUCAUCAAACUUAUCUCUAUGAAAAAAUUGUGUAUUUACAAUGAAUAGUUUUUGAGUAAUAAUUUUUAAAAAUUUUAUUACCAAUCAAGUCGGGUUUUUUGCCAAAAUUUUGCGAAAAUGGGUGAAGGGUACAAGAAAUGAUUUUUCCAGAAACAUGUACAUCCAAUAUAACUUUUUUUCUUUUCAAACUUCUUAGAUAUGUAUUUUCUCAAUUAUUUAUAACAAAGAAGUUGAAAUAAUAUGCAUUUUGUUCUUGAAACAGAGAAAAAUCACAAACUUACAAAAUUGACGGCAUGGUUUAUUUGACACAUCAACAUAUGCUAAAACUUUCUUAUAUUAACACCUACCUAUAUUAAGUUAAACUUAUUAAGAUUGGUCCACUCCAUCCUAAUUGAAAGUAUGGACACAAUUUUAAUUGUGGAACUGCGAUUUGUUUUACGAUAAUAGCCCCAAAAUAGGUGAAAAUAGAUGAUAUGGGAAAAUUAUCAAAUUUGGGUACGACUGUAGCAAAAAAAAAUAAACGAAGUGCACCAUUAUAUUAUUUUUUUCUUCACCAAUUAUUCCUAUAAAAAGUUUAAUUCUAGAAAUUUAUUCUUCUCAGAGGUGUACAUCCUUAAUCCUGCACUAGAGGAAAGAAAAAUAAAUAGGCAUCAUAAGAAUGUCAAUAAUUUACAAAUCUUAAAGUUUAAGUUAUAAUGUACAUCAAAUCUUCUAAAGUUCAUGUAGUUAACCAUAUUUGGUGGUAACUACUUAGCACAACGAGGUUUGCAUAGUUCUUAAGCAUUUUUCCUUCUUAAGCUUAAUUUCGUUCACAACAAACUUAUUAUAGAUACCAUGAUUGAAAUUUUGUAUUUGUGCCAAAUGCGCGUUUCGUCUACAAAAGACUCAUCAGUGGCGAUCAAAUAAUAAUAAUAAACUAGAGGCC